GCACUGCUGACGAGUCCCAAACAGGAAGAAACAGGUGUCCAGUGC
Molecule: non-coding RNA, 45 nt
Filed under: Echinostoma caproni
Lineage: Eukaryota; Metazoa; Platyhelminthes; Trematoda; Plagiorchiida; Echinostomatidae
Source: RNAcentral